GACGAACGCUGGCGGCGUGCUUAACACAUGCAAGUCGAACGGAAAGGCCCUGCUUUUGUGGGGUGCUCGAGUGGCGAACGGGUGAGUAACACGUGAGUAACCUGCCCUUGACUUUGGGAUAACUUCAGGAAACUGGGGCUAAUACCGGAUAGGAGCUCCUGCUGCAUGGUGGGGGUUGGAAAGUUUCGGCGGUUGGGGAUGGACUCGCGGCUUAUCAGCUUGUUGGUGGGGUAGUGGCUUACCAAGGCUUUGACGGGUAGCCGGCCUGAGAGGGUGACCGGCCACAUUGGGACUGCGAUACGGCCCGGACUCCUACGGGAGGCAGCAGUGGGGAAUAUUGCACAAUGGGCGGAAGCCUGAUGCAGCAACGCCGCGUGCGGGAUGACGGCCUUCGGGUUGUAAACCGCUUUCGCCUGUGACGAAGCGUGAGUGACGGUAAUGGGUAAAGAAGCACCGGCUAACUACGUG
This 468-nucleotide ribosomal RNA is filed under the name uncultured bacterium. RNAcentral's name for it is "partial 16S ribosomal RNA". It matches the Rfam family "Bacterial small subunit ribosomal RNA", at positions 28 to 507 of the family's 1533-position model. The record is from RNAcentral.